UUACGGCCACAAUCAUGUUGAAACACCGUUUCUCUUAUGAUCACCUAAGUUGAGCAACGUCGAGCAUGAUCAGCACUUAGAUGGGUGACCGCUGGGAAAACCAGGUGCUGCAC
This is a non-coding RNA of Acanthosepion pharaonis, 113 nucleotides long. The record is from the annotation of a GenBank genome assembly. NCBI's taxonomy places the organism in Eukaryota, Metazoa, Mollusca, Cephalopoda, Sepiida, Sepiidae.